UGAUGCAGCAACGCCGCGUGAGUGAUGACGGUCUUCGGAUUGUAAAGCUCUGUCUUUGGGGACGAUAAUGACGGUACCCAAGGAGGAAGCCACGGCUAACUACGUGCCAGCAGCCGCGGUAAUACGUAGGUGGCGAGCGUUGUCCGGAUUUACUGGGCGUAAAGGGAGCGUAGGCGGAUUUUUAAGUGGGAUGUGAAAUACCCGGGCUCAACCUGGGUGCUGCAUUCCAAACUGGGAAUCUAGAGUGCAGGAGGGGAGAGUGGAAUUCCUAGUGUAGCGGUGAAAUGCGUAGAGAUUAGGAAGAACACCAGUGGCGAAGGCGACUCUCUGGACUGUAACUGACGCUGAGGCUCGAAAGCGUGGGGAGCAAACAGGAUUAGAUACCCCGGUAG
RNAcentral lists this ribosomal RNA (392 nucleotides) under Clostridium perfringens. RNAcentral's name for it is "bacterial SSU rRNA". It matches the Rfam family "Bacterial small subunit ribosomal RNA", at positions 384 to 793 of the family's 1533-position model. The record is from RNAcentral. Lineage: Bacteria; Bacillati; Bacillota; Clostridia; Eubacteriales; Clostridiaceae.